RNAcentral lists this long non-coding RNA (199 nucleotides) under Solanum tuberosum (potato). Its description in RNAcentral is "long non-coding RNA (STUB_LNC009891)". Lineage: Eukaryota; Viridiplantae; Streptophyta; Magnoliopsida; Solanales; Solanaceae. The record is from RNAcentral.
AACAAUUGAAGAAACCCUAACUAGAAUUGGGGAAUUCUUCUUAGAAUUGUGGAAUUCUAGGGGACUCCAUGGGAGGAAGGAUCCCAUGGAUGAAAAUCCAUCAUACCUUGAUUACAAAGCCCUCACAAGUUUGAAAAUUUGAGACUUGAUCUUGACCUAGAUUCAAUCUCCGUCUUCUUCUUCCAAAUUCUAGAGAGAG